CCCAAGACGACAAGCCCUGUGAGGGCGGGGGCCUGGUCGCAUCCAUGUCCACAUGCCCGGGCAUCCAGACCCUCUGCCGGCACUGGAGAUGCUCAGUGAAUGACUGGAUGCGGGGUGGAGGGACGAGGGCCAACGGAAGGCAGAGCCUGCCGGGGACGGGGCCCAUUUCUCAGCCACCCCAGGAGGAGGCCCGCAGGCAGCUUCUCCACCAUCGCAGAGAGGGCGGUUCCAUAAGGAGCCUAGAAAGGCUUCCACUGGUUAAGACCUGGGGGUGGGAGAUUCAUCAGCAGGCCAGCUCUUUGGCCACACCGGGACGCCAGGGCCACGGUGGCACUGACUGUGUCCCUUUCCCAGCCUUCUCCCAUCAGCGGCUCCGGCCAGCCUCUGGGAACCCGCCUGUAUUGCAGAAAAUCGUUUUAGGUUUGACGGAUUUGUUAAUGAAAGAAACCACUUGUUACACACAAAUAAACAAUUUCAAUUUUU
RNAcentral lists this long non-coding RNA (483 nucleotides) under Bos taurus (domestic cattle). Its description in RNAcentral is "long non-coding RNA NONBTAT005893". Lineage: Eukaryota; Metazoa; Chordata; Mammalia; Artiodactyla; Bovidae. The record is from RNAcentral.